Molecule: non-coding RNA, 246 nt
Filed under: Sporomusa sphaeroides
Lineage: Bacteria; Bacillati; Bacillota; Negativicutes; Selenomonadales; Sporomusaceae
Description: Sporomusa sp. T-box sequence
Rfam family: T-box leader
About the family: Uncharged tRNA acts as the effector for transcription antitermination of genes in the T-box leader family. T-boxes are found upstream of many aminoacyl-tRNA synthetase genes and some amino acid biosynthetic genes usually in Gram-positive bacteria. The anticodon of a specific tRNA base pairs to a specifier sequence within the T-box motif, and the NCCA acceptor tail of the tRNA base pairs to a conserved bulge in the T-box antiterminator hairpin.
Source: RNAcentral
GAUAAUGCAAUGAUUGAGAAAAGUAGGUUUUUUGUGCUUGGCAGAGAGUCGGUGGAGGGUGCGAACCGGUAAGCAGAUUAACUGAAAUACACUCAUGAGCAGCAGGUUGAAAAGAAAUGAGUAGACUGUGCCGGUGUGCCGCCGUUAGCAAGGCUAGGGUAUCGGAACUGGAGUUCCUGUACCUAAAAGAGCGGCUUGCUAUAAGCAAGCAGGGUGGUACCACGGAUUAUUAAUCCCGUCCCUGUA